Molecule: ribosomal RNA, 714 nt
Filed under: uncultured bacterium
Lineage: Bacteria
Description: bacterial SSU rRNA
Rfam family: Bacterial small subunit ribosomal RNA
Source: RNAcentral
AGUCGAGGGGUAGAGGGUGCUUGCACCCUUGAGACCGGCGCACGGGUGCGUAACGCGUAUGCAAUCUACCUUUUACAGAGGGAUAGCCCAGAGAAAUUUGGAUUAAUACCUCAUAGUAUUAUUGAUUGGCAUCAAUUGAUAAUUAAAGCUGAGGCGGUAAAAGAUGAGCAUGCGUUCUAUUAGCUAGAUGGAGUGGUAACGGCACCCCAUGGCAACGAUAGAUAGGGGCCCUGAGAGGGGGAUCCCCCACACUGGUACUGAGACACGGACCAGACUCCUACGGGAGGCAGCAGUGAGGAAUAUUGGACAAUGGGCGAGAGCCUGAUCCAGCCAUGCCGCGUGCAGGAAGACGGUCCUAUGGAUUGUAAACUGCUUUUAUACGGGAAGAAACACCCCCUCGUGAGGGGGCUUGACGGUACCGUAAGAAUAAGGAUCGGCUAACUCCGUGCCAGCAGCCGCGGUAAUACGGAGGAUCCAAGCGUUAUCCGGAAUCAUUGGGUUUAAAGGGUCCGUAGGUGGAUGAUUAAGUCAGAGGUGAAAUCCUGCAGCUCAACUGUAGAAUUGCCUUUGAUACUGGUUGUCUUGAGUUAUUAUGAAGUAGUUAGAAUAUGUAGUGUAGCGGUGAAAUGCAUAGAUAUUACAUAGAAUACCAAUUGCGAAGGCAGAUUACUAAUAAUGGACUGACACUGAUGGACGAAAGCAUGGGGAGCGAAC